UAGAUGGCGGACAUGCGGGUAGAGGGGGAGGGCGGUCCAUUUAAACUGAGUUACUCUCCAAGUUACUCCCUCCAUUUCCAAACAAAUGUAAACGGCUGCCAGCGCGUUCAGGGUUUUAGAGGAAAACACACCUGGCGAACGCCCGCUCACGGCUAAACUGAAGAAAAUCCACCUGUUCAACUCAUUUACCUGGUCAUUUUAGGUUUGCUGUUAGCAACAACUGCAUUUAAAGGCGGGACAGUUCUUCCCUGUCAUACCUAGUGGCAGCUAGAGGCCCACAACAUUUACCAGAGGAUUAAAUAUUUCGGUGAUGGUUUAACUGUGGCUUCAUUUCAUCAGACUAAGGUGCUGAGUUAUUGUUCAAGAAGACAGUUUUCCCCCAGGGUGAGAGGGGCCGGGUCAGUCGCUGUGCCAAGCCUGAGAGUAUGAAACCGGAGGUGACAGGAUGUUGAUGAGGAGGCCUGAAGCAUUACCUCCAACCAUCAUGCCCUGGAGUGCUCCACUCUGCCAGCCGGUAAUGAACCUAAGGGUUGCACUCCAGUCAACUGUCACCCAGUCAUUCUGUACCAGCUGCAGUUUUAUCCUAGAGAGAGGCAAAAACAGGCAGUGGAUUUUGGUAGCUGAAUACAAGAAUGUGCUCCUGAAAACCAUACAUUCAGACCAGCAACAUCAUCGCAUUUGCUCUUGCUUGAGUGUGACUGGCCGUUUGCAUUGGAACCAGCUUCACCUAUAGUUUGGCUAGAGGCGGCUGUGCAGCACCUGACAGCAGACAGACACGGUUAGCCACCAGCUGGUGAACAUAGUGAAGCGUUUGGCUGCUACAGAGCCAGAUAUUUCCCUCAGCAGUUGGUAGAGACCAAAAGCAGAACUAAGUCGGUGAAUAUCGAGCUUUGCCAGCUGGCCAGAGACACAUCUCCAGUAGAGUAAAAUGUUGCUCUGUAACUACUGGAAGUAUAAACACUCACUGAUUGCUAAAAAAAAAAAAAAAAUUCAUUAUUAAUAACUUAAAAAGAUGAUGUCAAUGUUGUGUUCACAACUUGUUUCCUGUGCCACCUGCUAAUUAAAACAAACUACAGACAGGUGAUAAAUUAAAGGAAUAUAAUCAACAUAACAUGCCUCAGUAAGGUGCUGGGCCACCAUGUGCAGCCAGAACAGCUUUGUUCAGCAUUGUUUCUACAAAGCCCUGUUCAGACAUGCACUGGUAUUCCCUCGUGGUGUUUUUGACGAUGCUGGUGGAGAUGUUGUCUGACACAUUACUCCAAAAUCUCCCAUAGGUGUUCAGCUGGGUUCAGAUGUGGUGACUGUG
Monopterus albus (swamp eel) is the source of this 1306-nucleotide long non-coding RNA. RefSeq lists it as uncharacterized. NCBI's taxonomy places the organism in Eukaryota, Metazoa, Chordata, Actinopteri, Synbranchiformes, Synbranchidae. The record is from RefSeq and is a predicted model, not a curated record. The transcript has 3 exons.